GGCUCAUUAUAUAAGUUAUCGUUUAUUUGAUAGUACCUUACUACAUGGAUAACCGUGGUAAUUCUAGAGCUAAUACAUGCUAAAAACCUCGACUUCGGAAGAGGUGUGUUUAUUAGAUUAAAAACCAAUGCCCUUCGGGGCUCACUGGCGAUUCAUAAUAACCUCUCGAAUCGCAUGGCCUUGCGCCGGCGAUGGUUCAUUCAAAUUUCUUCCCUAUCAACUUUCGAUGCUAGAGUAGUGUUCUAGCAUGGUUACAACGGGUAACGGAGGGUUAGGGCUCGACCCCGGAGAAGGAGCCUGAGAAACGGCUACUACAUCCAAGGAAGGCAGCAGGCGCGCAAAUUACCCAAUCCCGACACGGGGAGGUAGUGACGAUAAAUACUGAUACAGGGCUCUUUUGGGUCUUGUAAUUGGAAUGAGUACAAUUUAAAUCCCUUAACGAGGAACAAUUGGAGGGCAAGUCUGGUGCCAGCAGCCGCGGUAAUUCCAGCUCCAAUAGCGUAUAUUAAAGUUGUUGUGGUUAAAAAGCUCGUAGUAGAACCUUGGGCCUGGCUGGCCGGUCCGCCUCACCGCGUGCACUGGUCCGGCCGGGCCUUUCCCUCUGUGGAACCGCAUGCCCUUCACUGGGUGUGCCGGGGAAACAGGACUUUUACUUUGAAAAAAUUAGAGUGCUCCAGGCAGGCCUUUGCUCGAAUACAUUAGCAUGGAAUAAUAGAAUAGGACGUGUGGUUCUAUUUUGUUGGUUUCUAGGACCGCCGUAAUGAUUAAUAGGGACAGUCGGGGGCAUCAGUAUUCAAUUGUCAGAGGUGAAAUUCUUGGAUUUAUUGAAGACUAACUACUGCGAAAGCAUUUGCCAAGGAUGUUUUCAUUUAUCAGGAACGAAAGUUAGGGGAUCGAAGACGAUCAGAUACCGUCGUAGUCUUAACCAUAAACUAUGCCGACUAGGGAUCGGACGAUGUUAUUUUUUGACUCGUUCGGCACCUUACGAGAAAUCAAAGUGCUUGGGCUCCAGGGGGAGUAUGGUCGCAAGGCUGAAACUUAAAGAAAUUGACGGAAGGGCACCACCAGGGGUGGAGCCUGCGGCUUAAUUUGACUCAACACGGGGAAACUCACCAGGUCCAGACACAAUGAGGAUUGACAGAUUGAGAGCUCUUUCUUGAUUUUGUGGGUGGUGGUGCAUGGCCGUUCUUAGUUGGUGGAGUGAUUUGUCUGCUUAAUUGCGAUAACGAACGAGACCUUAACCUGCUAAAUAGCCCGUAUUGCUU
This 1265-nucleotide ribosomal RNA is filed under the name Colletotrichum sp. B11. RNAcentral's name for it is "SSU rRNA". It matches the Rfam family "Eukaryotic small subunit ribosomal RNA", at positions 95 to 1370 of the family's 1831-position model. Lineage: Eukaryota; Fungi; Ascomycota; Sordariomycetes; Glomerellales; Glomerellaceae. The record is from RNAcentral.